Molecule: non-coding RNA, 184 nt
Filed under: Pseudoxanthomonas composti
Lineage: Bacteria; Pseudomonadati; Pseudomonadota; Gammaproteobacteria; Lysobacterales; Lysobacteraceae
Description: 6S / SsrS RNA
Rfam family: 6S / SsrS RNA
About the family: E. coli 6S RNA was the first non coding RNA to be sequenced, but its function was unknown until recently. It consists of 184 nucleotides that fold into an extended hairpin structure with a large single-stranded internal bulge. The 6S RNA specifically associates with RNA polymerase holoenzyme containing the sigma70 specificity factor.
Source: Rfam by way of RNAcentral
CAUCCUCUGCUGUGUGCGACAGCGUCAAAACAUUCGCCUUGUCCCUUAAUAACGACACCGGGGCAGCGACGGAAGCCGGGAGCGCAAGUCCGCCUUGUAGCGGGAAGCCCGAUGGCGCUAGAGCUGUCCCACUUGGACCUCGGGUUCAAGGUCGUUUCGAAGCAUCGCCAUUGGCGGAGGAUGU